RNA transcript from Homo sapiens (human), 1520 nucleotides. It is a transcript of the gene named ribosomal protein L23a pseudogene 82, with no coding region annotated. The transcript is spliced from 4 exons. The record is from RefSeq and is marked validated. Lineage: Eukaryota; Metazoa; Chordata; Mammalia; Primates; Hominidae.
UUCUUUGACUCGGAAAGGGAACUCCCUGACCCCUUGCGCUUCCCGAGUGAGGCAAUGCCUCGCCCUGCUUCAGCUCGUGCACGGUGCGCUGCACCCACUGUCCUGCGCCCCCUGUCUGGCACUCCCUAGUGAGAUGAACCCUCAGAUGGAAAUGCAGAAAUCACCCGUCUUCUGCGUCGCUCACGCUGGGAGCUGUAGACCGGAGCUGUUCCUAUUGGGCCAUCUUGGCUCCACCACCCUGAGAUAGGGUCUCACUCUGUCGCCCAGGCUGGAGUGCGGUGGCGCGAUCACGGCUCACUGCAGCCUCCAACUCCUGGACUCAAGCGAUCCUCCCUCCUCGGCAUCCCUGGACUAUAGGCGUGAGCCACCGCUUACGGGCGAAGACUUGCUUGUCCGUGUCCUUGCCAUCUAAGUGGAGAGCCUACGACUAGAUUUGCAUCUUUACGUCCUGCGCGGAGGCUGCUACACACAUGCAGAAGUCAUGCUGGUGGCCUGGACAGUGAAGGGAGAGAAGUGGAUUUGGGAGACAUUUAGGAGAUGGCACCAAAAGCGAAGGAAGCUCCUGCUCAUCCUAAAGCCGAAGCCAAAGCGAAGGCUUUAAAGGCCAAGAAGGCAGUGUUGAAAGGUGUCCGCAGCCACACGCAAAAAAGAAGAUCCGCAUGUCACUCACCUUCAGGCGGCCCAAGACACUGCGACUCCGGAGGCAGCCCAGAUAUCCUCGGAAGAGCACCCCCAGGAGAAACAAGCUUGGCCACUAUGCUAUCAUCAAGUUUCCGCUGGCCACUGAGUCGGCCGUGAAGAAGAUAGAAGAAAACAACACGCUUGUGUUCACUGUGGAUGUUAAAGCCAACAAGCACCAGAUCAGACAGGCUGUGAAGAAGCUCUAUGACAGUGAUGUGGCCAAGGUCACCACCCUGAUUUGUCCUGAUAAGGAGAACAAGGCAUAUGUUCGACUUGCUCCUGAUUAUGAUGCUUUCGAUGUUGUAACAAAAUUGGGAUCACCUAAACUGAGUCCAGCUGGCUAACUCUAAAUAUAUGUGUAUCUUUUCAGCAUAAAAAAAUAAUGUUUUUCAUAAGAAUGACAACUUAAUUAGAAUCAAAUCUAUAAGCUUUAAGAUUUUACGUUUCUAGUAAGUAUAAUAUUAGCUUAUUUGACUAGAACUCAAGCAGAAUAGGAAUUUAUGCUUGUUUUAUAUUCAAUAAUGAUAAUUUUGAAGAUAUAGUUGUUUUAUUACACCAAAAAUACUAUAUUAAUCUUAUUUAACUAAGUUUUAUCCAAAUCAUGUUAACUUAAGAAACAUUUGAUCAGUUCCUAUAUUUCUAGGAGUUUGGUGAAUAUUUAUUUAUAAAUGCUUAUUUUUUUCCAAGCCAAGUUAGAAUAGAGCACUUUUAGAGGAUUUCAUAAAUGAAUUUUGCAAUGCUCUCUGGAGUUAAGAAAAUAUCACAUAUACAUAACAUACAUUAAUAGAUACACAAACACAAAUAGAGAUUUCAUAGCUUUCAUCCUGAAAUUUCAGCCA